This 784-nucleotide long non-coding RNA is filed under the name Dromaius novaehollandiae (emu). Its description in RNAcentral is "lncRNA (ENSDNVG00000010821.1)". Lineage: Eukaryota; Metazoa; Chordata; Aves; Casuariiformes; Dromaiidae. The record is from RNAcentral.
CUGUAGGGAGUUUUCUGAAAGAUUUUGAAAUCAGAAGUUAACCUCUUAUGUUGGGGUUUAUUAGAUAAAAUCCGUCUCUGACCACAGAAUUAUAUAGGUUCCUAUCACCCCCGCUUUCUGUUACUCAGGCAGGUGUUCAGCACCUAAAUGCCACUGUUUACCUGGGCCCAGCUGGCUCUGAUUCUGAAAAACAACUGAGUAAUAAUGCUGCAUUGACUAAGACUCCAGGAGCUGCAGCUCACCAGCUUCAAUAAUUUCAUCUAAAAACAAAUAAACCAGUGUAUUUUCUUGAUUAAAGGCAAACUUGAACCAUAAAGAUAAGAAAGAUACCUGUGUCCUUACAGUAUUCUUGCAUAUGAUACAUGAACUGGAAAAAGAGGUGUUGCAGGCUUGUGAUAGUGCAGCAAAGCAUGACACACUGGUACUGUAAACAAAGAUCAGUGAGUUGAAACCCCCUCUGAACCCCCUUUUCCAUAAAUAAGUUCCUCCCCCAUAAAUAAUUUUAGUGCAUACAACACAAAUUUAGGUCAUGUCAUUAUUGCUUCCCCUUCAUAAAGGAUGAUGUUCCUCUCAGUUGCUGCUYUCCGGCUUGCCCUUUUGCUUUGAAACGGGAGGUGACCUGAGGCACCUCGUCAUGAUGUGCAUGGCAUUCYACCUGGAGGUACAAAGUACUGCCAUCUUCAGCUGUUUGGCGUUCAGACACGGAGGGUCCCAGUCAUUUCCUUCUCCAGUGCCAGUGUUUGGAGCACCGGCUGAAGAUCAGAUAUGUCCCUGGCACUUAUGA